RNA transcript from Triticum aestivum (bread wheat), 3269 nucleotides. RefSeq lists it as uncharacterized. The transcript has 7 exons. NCBI's taxonomy places the organism in Eukaryota, Viridiplantae, Streptophyta, Magnoliopsida, Poales, Poaceae. The record is from RefSeq and is a predicted model, not a curated record.
AUGUCGCUACGCCAGCGAGGAGCGUGGAGUUGCCGCCUGGGUCACCGAGCAUCACGACGGGUCCAACAAGGGUCGCUCGCCGAGGAUCUCGAUGGAGGCAGCGGCGGCGGAGCGCACCUCCUCGCGCGCCUCGUCGGUGGCGUCACCUACGCAGCUCGCCUCUACCUUGUCUCCGCCGCCGCCCGCCUCGCUUCUGCCCUCGCCCACCUAGACGCCGGCGCAACCCGCCUCGCCGCCGAAAUUGAAAGCGGCACAACUAGGUCAACAUACUCCGAGCCUGGAAGGCAUCCAACCCCCCACUGGAAGCGGCAGCCAGGGGUCGCCGUCCUCCUCGAGGCUCAGGCCAUCGACAUCCAGAUCUCGUCUCCGCUCUCCGCUCACCGGCCGGCCGGCCGACUGCCGUGGGGUACUGCACAUAGUACAUACCUGCAGAUGGACGACAAAAUCAGUACUAGACACAAUGCUCUGGAGCGCAUGCUAAUUGAUGAAAAUGCGGAGCCAACAAAUCUGCCGCUAUCACUUCUAGAAGAUAUCACAAAAUGUUUCUCUGACGAUCAUCAAAUCGGCGUCGGUGGGUUUGCGGUGGUUUAUAAGGGAAUGGUUGGAAAUGAGGCAGUCGCUGUGAAGAGGCUAUCCACGACAUUUGAUAUGCAGGAGAAUAAAUUUCACAAAGAGGUUGAAUGCUUGAUGAAGGCCAAGCACAAAAACAUAGUGCGUUUUCUCGGAUAUUGUUCUGACACACAAGGGAAAAUUGUAGACUAUGAGGGGAAGAUGGUCAUGGCGGAUAUACGAAAUUGGUUGCUCUGUUUUGAGUAUGUACCCAGCGGAAGUCUUGAUAAAUACAUUACCGAUGCAUCUCAUGGACUUGGAUGGAAGGAACGUUAUCAGAUAAUUAAGGGAAUAUGUGAGGGUCUAUGUCAUCUUCAUGAGAAGCGCAUUCUGCACUUAGAUCUGAAACCCGCCAAUAUUCUAAUAGAUGAUCAUAUGGUACCCAAAAUUGCUGAUUUUGGUCUUUCAAGGUGCCUCGACAAAGAGCAAACCCGGGCUAUUACUUCAAACCUUUGUGGAUCAUUGGGAUAUUUGGCACCCGAAUUCUACAGUGGACAUGUCUCAUUCGCGUCGGACAUAUAUAGUCUUGGCGUUAUAAUCGUGGAGAUAUUGACAGGACAAAAGGGUUAUUCUGAAGAUGAUAAUGUAAUUGAUAGUUGGAUGAUUCAAUUGGAGACAUCAGAUCAGGCGGACACUCUGUUGGAACAAGUAAAAGUAUGCACAAAAAUAGGGAUAGAGUGCAUGGACCCGAACCCAAAGAAGAGACCUGCCGCUAGGCACAUACUCGAUAUGAUUGAUAAAACGGAAAGUGCCGCAUAUUCAGAAGAAACUGCCAUCAGCUUCCCAGCAAAGAAAAGAAAAAAAGAAACCGCCAUCAGCAGUUCAUCAUCACAUAAUCCCCGGGUGGCUGAUGCAGGCGUGUGGGACCGUGUUAGCGGCCCGGCGUGUUCGGACGCCGAAUUCCAGCGGGCCUUCCACAUGUCGCGCGCCACGUUGCACUCGCUCUGCCAUGAGCUCGUCAUCGCCAUCGCCAAGGACACCACCUUGUGUGCUGCCAUACCCGUGCACCAGCACGUCGGCGGGGACGCAGCGCCGGCAGCAAUGAACGGACGCCGGGUGUGGGUGCGGGAGCGGAGCACGGAGUGGUGGGACCGCCUCAGCGGCCUGGCAUGCCCGGACGCCGAGUUCCGGCAGGCCUUCCGCAUGUCGCGUGCCACGUUCGAUGCGAUCUGCGACGAGCUUGGCGCCGCCAUCGCCAAGGAGGACACCGCCCUGCGCGCUGCCAUACCCGCGCAGCAGCGCUUCGCCGUCUGCGUGUGGCGCCUCGCUACCGGGGAGCCCCUCCGUGAGGUGUCCCGCCGUUUUGGCCUAGGCAUCUCCACCUGCUACAACAUCGUUCUCCAGGUCUGCGCCGCCCUCACCGGUGUCCUCAUGCCCAAGGCCAUCCGCUUGCCCCUGGACUCCCCUGAAGUCACCGCCUCCAGGUUUGAGGCCCUGUCCUGGAUCCCCGGCAUCGUUGGCGCUGUGUGCACUGACCACAUCCCCAUUGGCCCACCCAAGGAGAAUGUUGCCGAGUACUACAACCGCUGCCUCACGGAGCGCAUGAACAAGGCAUCCUAUUCUGUCGCCUUGCAGGCCGUCGUGGACGCUGACGGCACUUUCACAGACGUCUGCAUCGGCCUCCCAGGCUCACUGUCCGAUACAGCUGUGUUUGAGCAGUCGGCGCUGCACGCCCGCUGCGAGGCUGGGUUGUUUGGAGACAACCAGUACUGGCUGGUUGGCGGCCCAAGGUACCCGCUCAAGGACUGGAUGCUCGUGCCAUAUGCGUACCAGAACCUGACGUGGGCGCCUUCAACGAGCGUGUCGCGGUUGCGCACGGAGCUGCGUGGGGCGCGUUACAGAGGCUCAAGGCACGGUGGCGCAUCCUGCAGCGCCGCACCGAGCCCAAGCUGCCAGACCUUCACAACAUGAUUGGUGCCUGCUGCGUGCUGCACAACUUCUGUGAACGCAGGGGCGAGGGGCUCGACGUGGACCUCCAGUCUGGGCUCUCCUGGGACAAAGCCGACGUGCUCGCAGUUCUAAAGGCUGGAAAGGAGCGGGACAGGAUCGUACACAAGUAACACAACACCUAUUCUAAUAAAUAAAAAGGAUGACGCACGUCCUCGUCCAUGGCGGCAUUAAGUUUGAGAAGUGAUGAGCUACUGACGGCUGUGAGGCUCUUUUUUCCCCCUCACCAAAAAUAGCAAAAACUGAAGAAAUAUAUGCUAGUGGAAUAAGUUGCUAUUAAACUGCCAGGGUGGAAGUGUACCACAUGCUACCCCUGGACUUGUUACCCCCCUGGUUCUUCAGUUGCCUUGGUAAAAUCUCAACUUUCUUUGGCUGGGCCACGGCGCGACCCUUGGGAAAACGUUGUAAGCCAUGGACAGGACUGAAGGUUCACAUAUUUUCUAAGGUUCUUCGUUUUGCUCUCUGUUUCUGGGCUGUUUUAUCUUUGGUCCAGUCUUGUUUCCCUUAUGCUCUAUAUUAGUUUUUUUUGCGGCAAUACUCUAUAUUACUUGAUGUAAUGGUGUCUCUGUUAAUUACCUGGAGUUAGGCGUUUCUAUGUUGGUUAGACCUUUGGAUGACCUGACCGGAGAGGGGUUGCGUGCGUCCUCGCUCUCCAGGCCACGGCCUUAUGUAGCGUUUGUCUACAGGUAGUAAUGCUUGUCUGAGCUAUUUUA